Molecule: long non-coding RNA, 1820 nt
Organism: Ailuropoda melanoleuca (giant panda)
Lineage: Eukaryota; Metazoa; Chordata; Mammalia; Carnivora; Ursidae
Exons: 2
Source: RefSeq, a predicted model, not a curated record
CUGAGAUGAAACCAAGAGUUGGGUGCUCAACCGACUGAACCACGCAGGUGCCCCUAUGUUAACUAUUUUUAAUAAAAAAUUAAUUUAUGAAUAUAUGCAACACUCAGUAGUACAAAAGGAUAUGCAGUGACUGUACGAAGUCCCUCUCCCAAGAGGUUAGAGCUAUGAAUAGUUUCUUGUGGAUCCUUCCGUUUUUGUUCUUAUAUCAACAUAUGUUGAUUAAAAGACACCACAAAAAUGGGAGCAUUUUACAUAUAUUUCCCUACCUUGGAUUUUUCCCUUAACAUGUAAUGCCUUGCAUUCUUGGUAUUCAACAAAUAUUCGUUGAGUGAUUGAAUAACUACAUAUUGUUAUUGAAAUAGAAUAUAUUCUAUUAGAAGAUACACAGUAUUUUGUUAUAUGGAUAUGCCCUUAAUUGGUUGGAUAUAUCCCCUAUUAAAAUGCUGAUAGAUUAUUUUCUAGUCUUUUUGAUUACAAUGCUUUCAUAUAUUAUAUGUUUGACUAGUAUGCAUCCCUUGCAUUUCUGAGUCCCUAAAAGUGAAUUUUGACUUUUGCAAAAAGCCAACUGGGAUUUUGAUAGGAAUUGCAUUGAAUCUAUUGAUCAAUUUGGGGAGUAUUGCCAUUUUAAUAAAAUUCAGUUUUCCAAUCCAUGAACACAGGAUGUCUUUUUAUUUAUUUAGGUCCUUUAAUCUCUUAUGUUUUUUAGUUUUUAAUUUAUAAAUCUUGUACUUUCAUUGAAUUUAUUAGUAAGCAUUUUAUUCCCAUUGAUGUGAUUGUGAAUAGAAUUGUUAAUUUCAUUUUCUUCUUAGUGCAUAUCUUUGAACAUAGCUUCUCCCUCCCACCCUAAUGAAUGAGUAUAUCUAUUGGAUUAGUUCCUAAAUGUGGAGUUGCUGGGUCAAAGGGUGUGUAUAGUUUAGAUAAUAUUUUGAUAUAUGUUACCAAAUUGGCCUCCAAAGAAGUUACCCCAACUUGUUAUCAACACAUUGUAAGAGUGACUUUAAUAAGCUAUUUUUUGUAUUAUUACCAAUCUUGUGAGAGAAAAAUGAUAUGUUCUUUGUUUAAGUAAAUUCACUCAGUUAUAAAUAUGGUUGUAUUUUUUGCAUGUGGACUAUCUUUUUAAGGCCUUUGCCCAGUUUUUCUAUUUGCAAAUAACUUGUUAAUCAUGUAUCAGUAGAUUUGGAUUUUUUGGGUUAAACUAAUUUUUAAGAUGGCAUAAUUUAGAGUCAUUGAAAGUGACUUGAUGAAACAAGUGGCAGAGAGCUGGACUUGUAACCAUAGCUCCAUAAUACUCUACUUGUCUGCCCUCAUGCACUUUUGAUGGCAUUGGAGCCUGGCCAGUCAGGUUACAGUCAAUAAAACAAGCAUUUACUGAAUGCCUAAUUGGUAUUAGAAACCCUAUUUUAGUAAUGAAUGGAGACUGUUCUGUUUUCCUGGGUGUUCACUGUCUGGUGCAAAAAAACAGAUCCUGAUGGAGGGAAGGAUUCAUUUGGCCCAUUUUUAACAGAGACUCAUCUUUAAAACUUUGGCUUGGUUUUGAAGGCUAGUUUGCUAGGCUGACAAAGUGGGAAGUUCAGGCAGAUGAGAAAUCAGGAACAAAGGCCAGGAGAAAGUUGGUGGCAAGUUUCAGGAAUGCUGAGGUGUUGGUGAACAUAGAGUAUACCUCUAAGCAGUGGAACUGGUAGGAAGUAGGGCCAGGAAGGUAGGCUGAGACCAUGUUGUCCAGCUUGAAUGCCAUGCCAAAGAAUUUAAUUUUUGUAUUUUUGACUCUAGAGGACAUUAGGUUUUUUUUUUUUUUUUUAAGAUUAUUUAUUUAUUUGAGA